CCUUUUCUCUGUCGCCGCUCACCUUCCGCGUGCACGCACAUGCACACAAGCAUGCAUGCAUGCUGCAUGCGCUUCCUUCCCUUGCACCCAUGAUUCGUGCUUCACUCUCGCCCCUCCCCCCGUCCCAUCCCUUCCCUCUUGUGUUCUUUAUUGCCCUCCUCCUUUCUUUCUGCCAGGACCAGCAACGGCAGGAAGAUACAUACGUACACACAUACAUGUAAGGAUAGAAACGUUUCCAUCGCCUACUUCGACUCUCCCUGCCUCUCUUCUUCCGUCCUCCCUCCCUUCGCCGCCUGGGCCCCGUGCGAUCACACGCACACACAUACACAAACACACACGCAGGAAAGGCGAAAGGAAAAGAGAAAAGCGCAGACGCACUCACCCAUACACGCAGUGUCACACGGAAAGGGUGGGAACGCACAGGAGCGGCAAGUAAUCGAAAUACAAAAGCGAAAAAGGACAUUGGAAACGGUGAAAGAGAAGAGAAGCACCGAGUGCAUCCUUGUAAGCCUCACCGCUCGUGCGUCUCUCCUCCUCUCCCGCCCUGUAGGGCGCGCCGCCCCGCCGUUUCUUCGAUUCUGUGCACAUCACUCAGCGGCAAGCACAAGCGCAAACGCGAAGAACAAAAACGAGGGAGGAAGACGACGCACUCCUUAAUCGUUCAAAGCACGUCUUAUCGGUGUGUCUGCGGGCGUGCUGCCUGCUUUCUCUUCGUCCUCUUCUGCUCUUUCUUGUUUUUUUUUCUCGUAGCGGCCGGCCGGCCGGCAGGCAGGCAGGAGGGCAGGUGGGGAGGGGGUGAGAGCCCGUCUUGCUUAGCGGCAGGCCGUUUUUUUUUUUUCGCUUGCCAUGCUCUCCAGUGUCGAAGUGCGCCCUUUCUGUUCUGCUGUGUGUCUCGUAUGAGCCCCUGCUUCCAUCACCCACCACCACCCGCCAUCAUCAUCAUCCCCCUCUCCCUUCCCCUUCCCCUCCCUCCUUUCCCUCUCCGCCUCCGGUGUGUUUCUGCCUCCUCUCUUUUUGGAGGUUUUCUCCCUCGUCCUCGUGUGGCCUUCUGUCUUGUUUAUAUUGGUGGUGCUUGUGCCUGGCCCCCUCCCCUCUCCCUCUGUUAGCAUUUCUGUGAGCAACCGCUCGACUUUGGUUGUGUUCCUUUUUUCUGCUUGAGUAUCAGUCUUUGUGUGAGUGUCAACACGGAUAAACAUCAAUACAUAAAUAUAUACACAUCCGCCUUCUCUUUGUCCACCACCACCCCUCUUCCAUCCUCUUUUGGUCGAGCGCUGCCUUCUCGCUCAUCUCCAUCGCAUAUACACCUGCAGACAUACACACACACACACAUACAUACACACGCCGACGCGUAUCUACACGGCAACCCUCAUCCUCCUAUAAGCCACCCCUCACUAUUCCUCUUGGCGAUUGUCAGUCUUUAUCACCUCUCCACCGUUACUCAGACGGCUCUUUCCGUGAUUUUUGCUUUCUUUUCGUUGUCUUCUGUGCUGGUUUUGCCCCGUGCUGUCUCGCCAACACGCCUCGGCAGUACGGGUGGGCAUCACCUGGCGCUAAUACAUCAAUUCUGCCGCCGUGCUAGCUCGGGCUUCUGUUCCUUCGUUUUCUUCUUCUCUUGGUCUCUCGUGUGUGUGUGUGUGUGUGUGCAUCUGGUUUUUUUUGGGGGGAGAGGGUUCUGAGCCGACCUUCUUUUCUCUUGGCAGCGUCUCCGCCCCUCGUCCGUCAUGAAUGGUGACGACCCACCUGUGGUCUCGGCGAGCCCAACAGUCGCUGGUAGUACCGGGAUGCCGUGUGUGUGUGAGGCCAGCGAAGUGCCGCGCACACCAUUCCUUUCGGCACUGCUGCUGAGCGGCAUUAUGCCCGAAACAGACGACGUCUCGCAGAAUGGAGGAUGCGCAAAGUAUGCUUUCACGGCCGCUACCACGGCAGCCUUAGCCGUCUCAAAUACAGCGCCACGGCCCAGCGUUGGGCACAGCAACGGCAGAGAAGACGGUGUUGUGCUGAGCAGGCAAGAAGAUGACAGAAGUAAAGUCGGCAUGGCUUUUGUGAACGCGUCAGUGCAGCCCCUCACGCGGGCCAAAUCGGGAGCUGCGAGGCACCUGAGCUGCCAUGAUGGCAACGACACCCCUAGAGGGGUGCUGAAAAGACGUGGGGACGACGCAGCGGAAGCUCUCCACUCAUCCACUACAGCCGGCGCAGACGACAAGGACACCCUUCAAAGCACAGUGGCAUCAGCAUCCUCGCAACGUGUGCACUUCGUGCCGAACAAUGCGGCGACAGCAACGGCUACAGAUGCGCUUGAGCCACUGGCGGCGCCUCCUCUGUCGCCAGAGGGCGCAUGCAACCCACGUGAUGAUAUGGACGACCCUCUGCGCUCGCGCCGUCAUCGCCACCGCGACACCGGCACGGAGUCGCCGGGUCUGGGUGGAAGCAGCGGGCCGCAGACCUGGUCUGCUGCAUCGUCGGCGUCCUCAGCACCACAUUCCACAGCUGAGACGCAAUGGUGCAACACGAGUGAGGCGUCGGAGCUGGACUUGCACGAGAUACCUCCGCCCGUCUUGGGCACGGCAACAGGCCACUUAACCGCCGUAUCGUCUGUGUGCGGUGGCGAGGCGUCGCCGGUGACCAUCAAUGCGCGAACAGCCGAACCUGCUCAAAAACCCAAUACGGGCGCGAACGGGUGGUCGCCUAUCUCUGUGUCAGCCGUCAUGUCGCCCAACCGACAGAGCAUCGCUGGCUUGCAACAAUCAUCGAAGGGGAGCGUCUGGAGACGCAAGCGGUCGUGUGACAUGUCAGCGGUGCAGUCAGAGAGACACAGCUGCUGCAGCAGCAGCGACCACGGCGAUGCCUCGCCGGUCUCCCUCGAAAAGUCUAUUCCACGGAGCGCUGGGAAGCCGAUUGGCGACGGCCCCGCGUCUCCGGUGGCAUCGCUCUCGCAGAAGCGAAUCGAGUCACUGGACGGCAAUACCCGCACUCCCACGUCAACACAGGCGACGAUGGCAACCACACUGACCACGAUGGAGUCUGGCAUUGCCCCCAAUCCCUCCAGCUCUCGUUACUCACUGCGGUCGGUUGGCUCGCGUCACGAGCUCCAACGCAGCGCGUCCAUCUCCAGGAUGUGUGUACCUCGACAAGAGACGGCCCCACCACUGCAUCUGUCGAUGCCCAUUUGCCCAGGCGGUGCUGUUGUGUCAAGCACCAUUCUAGGGGUAUCUGUUCGAAGCCCGCUGGAAAUGACCACCUCUCUCAUGCUGCCGAUGUUCAUGGUUGGCAACACCGCGUCGCUGAUCGCCUUCCCAAGAUCCGACACUGCGUUCCCACUUCGGACAACGCUCAGCACGCUCACCAAGUCGGCUGGCGACAAGUCGCAGCAGCCCCCGCCGCGACUCCACGACCAGGGGGACGAGGGCGACGCAGACCAACCUCCGCUUGCACCUGCCGUCACGCCAGCCGCGCAGCACCUGCCGAGCUCCAUCGCGGCAGCGCGGCGCAAAAACCUCGAUGACAGCUCUGUUACCUCAUCGCGACAGCAGGAGCGGCAGGCGCCUUUUUGUCAAUCUAAGCACGAGGAAGCAAACGCCACUGAGAACGAAUCCUCAAACUCGCUCUCUGCUCCACCGCAACAGAGUCUCCGCAACUUCACCGUAACCUCCGCCACCUCCUUCUGUGUCGACAACGCCGCCACCGCGUGCGACCCGCGCAGUACGACUGCGGAGCACAGCAGCGCCGUCUCCAUGCGGCAAAGCUCAACCAUGUCCGAGGACCAAAUCCUGCAGACGCUUGCCCACGGCAUGGCGCUGGGUGGUGUAUUGACAGGUCCGUGGAAAGCAGCGCAGGACAACUCGACGCCAACACCGCUCAAGCCGUGUGCGAGUGACCCAGGGAACUGGCGUCUAACUGGCAGGCUGUUCGCGCCGCAGCAUCCCCCGUCCGCGCCCUCCCGCUCAGUCGCCUCGGGUGCGAUGAGCGCCGACCGCGGCACGCAACACGGCUCCACGAACUGCACCACAUGCCCGUGUGGCUCCUCGCUAAUGGCGCCGCAUAUGCACGGAGAGGAGAUGUCGCUAUACCUGGGCUGCGGCACGCAAACGCCGCGCUCACGCGGCAAUAGCCCGGCGGCAGGGCUUGCCGCGUCCCAGACGCACUUAUCUGAGCUGCAGAUGCAGCGAGGGAGGCUGAGUAGGAUGAGCUCUACAAGACCUGCGGGAGCGCGGGGAGAAAGGCCGGCGCAAGUGCGCUCUCUGGUAUCCGUGUCGGCAGCAAGCGGGGCUGACGAAGACGCGGAGACUGGCAGUCAUUCACUCACACAUGGCUCCCUCGCUGUCGUCCUGUCCAGCCCUAGCAAGCGGCACAGGGGGCUGCCAAGCCCUGGCUACUUCUGCGCAACGGCUGAAGACUCUCUGAGGGACGCCAGUGGCUCCAGCGCCACAACCCUGCCCGCCUUGUUCUGCUCUGCCCUUCACGCUGAGCGCUCGCUCGCCACACCGAUGCGCGGGUACAGCCUCACGCAGCGCUCCAGUGCGGCGAGCGUGGCGUCUUUGGCGCUUUCCCAGGCACCAUUCGGCGUGGAGGGGGUCAUCUUCUCUGCAGGCAGCACCCCAAACGUGGUGGGUUGUGUAGAGGCGGGUGUGGCGGCGUGGUUGCCCGUGGUUAGCAGUGACACAGCUGCAAGGCAACUCAGCGGUGAUCGAACAGUGAUGCUGCGACCUACUGACAGCAGCACAGCCCAUUACCACGUACCCAGUAGUGGUGUCUUCAGCACCGCCGACAGCGGCGUCGCCGUCUCGGCGCCGAUGGAAGCACUGCGUGCGGAGCGGUUUACUUUUCUGCAGUCUGUGCAAGAUGUCGGUGGUCUUGCUGCUCAGGCGGAGACGGGUGCCUUGCUCGGCGACGCGGAUGCUGUACAGAGCUUGCUGGGCGAGGUAAUAGCCGAGCCGGCGGCAAUGGCCACACCGACUGUGUCGCCACCGACGCUCAUGCCAUCCUCUGUGCCCGUGCCCCUCUCCACGGUCGGCUUUGUGUCCGGGUGGAUGCGGCGGAUUUCUGCUGGGGGCGUGUCGACAACGUUUCCCUUUAACACUACGGGCACAGCCGCCCCCUCGCCGGCGAGGAAAACGGCAGGGUCAGCAGGAAACUCCAGCGAGUCACCCGAUGGAGCCCGUGAGCGCAUAUCGGCACUGCGGAUGGCCGCGGAGCCGAUUUGUGUAGCUAACGACAGUGUUGCCACGGCAUCGAUCACGCUUAUGUCUGAGACGUCGUCUGUGCGUCGGUCACCACCACCGGCACCGGCGAUGUUGCCCCGUCCCUUGCUGACGCGGAACCUCUCCUAUCGGAUUCCUGGGUCGGAGGUUGCGGCGGCCGCGGAGCUACGUCGCACCACCUCCUCCCCUUGCGCCGCCGCUCCUUGGGCCAUAGGCAGCGCCAACGAUUUGGUGGCGGCAGUGGGGACGCCACCGCUGCCAGAAAUGGUGAGCUUGAAGGACAACGUCAGCGCACGACCCCGCGACGGUACAAGGAGCGUGUUUCAGCCGGUGUUGCCGCUUGCUCAAGAAGAAAAUGCGGUCACGUCAUUGAGCUACGAACCAGGGACACCAAAGGCAAUGAGCCCCGUGCCCGCGAGCCGAGUAACAGAUGAAUCAGUGGCCGCGACCGAUCUGCGGCAGAUGUGGUGGGCGCCGGCAGUCGCGCGAGCCGCGGCACCAUUCAGAACUACUGGGGCUGAUACCCGCCCAGCUCCGGUGCAUUGCAAUAGCGGUGAGUCGGGCAUGCGCUCCGCCGCGCAGUCCCUCAGUUGCAGUUCGCUGCGCGGGCUCUUACCUCAGCAGCAGCAGACCCCACCUCAGCUGCAGAUGUGUGCCUCGGCUGCCAUGCGGCCCUCUCUCCACAGCGUCCAUAACAACAACGAUCAAGGCGCCUACCAAAUCGCUGACUACAAGAGCAACGCACGCGCUGAUCCCAUCCGAGGCUCAUUACGAGGGUCAUCGAGUCGCGUUGUUGAGCGGGCAGCUGGUAUGGGCGCCGGUGGUGGUGAGGGGUACGGCCAGAGUUGUCGUGCCAACGGGGCGAUGCUCUUCCACAAACGCGGCACGCUUACAGGCAGCAGUGGUCGGUGUCACAUGAAUGGUGGAAAGGGGGGUGGUGGCACAGGCUCACCUAUCCGUAUCUCCAUCCCAUGCUAUCAGGGCUAUCGCGACGCCGAGACUCUCCUGGAUGACGCGGAGCGGGCCAUGAGCAGGACGGCUGUCCCCAUCAUCUCAUUACUUGGCUUCGGCGGGCCAUCGUUGCAUGAGGACGAGUACUCGUUUGAGAUGCUCGGGAACGGCCUGGCAUCGAGUGUGAUGUCUUUGGCGACGCCAGCACCGACAUCUUCCAGCGCCGGCAUGGACAUGGGCCUCGUGUCGCCUCUGGUGCUCGCGUCGGCGUCCGACAAGCCGGCGGCAAGCCCCACGGGAACGAAGUCGUCCUUUUCCCUCAGUGCGCCGAGUGAACGGUGAGGCAGGAUGAGAAGGCAAAAGAAAAAAAAGCAAAGGAAAUACAGCUGGAGGUACGCUCGCUGCCUUUGCGCACCUCUCCCGGUGCGUGUGUGUGAUGGCCUUGCACCGCAGUCGGUGCAGCCGCAUCAGCACGAGUCUUUCUCUCCCGCAUAUUGCCGCGAUGUGUGCCUUGGCUGUGUGCAUGGCCUUCCAGGCUAAGUGAUGUGCAAUAUGUAUAUAUGCAUAUGUGUAUGCGUAUGUGUGUGUGUGUGUGUGUGUGUCUGCAUGAUGUGUAUCUUUACGUGAUCGUCUUUCUUUUUCUUGUGUUUGGCAUUUUUGUUCCGCGUCGUUCCCUACGGCACUUUUCCGUCUUCUGUUUACACAUUUUACGCUGGAUGCGGGUCUCUAUCCAUGUACACGGAGACGAGCAUGUCUCCUCUCUCUCUCACCCCCGCUCCCUCCCGUGCAUGAUUUCUGGUGCAUCUCCUCUAUCGUGAGCGUGUGUUGAAUGGUCUGCCUUGUGUCUUUCGAUGAUCAUGUGUGGUGAAGGGCCUGUGCACGUGUGCGUGUACAUGCGCUCUAAAGUCGUUUUUUUUUGUAGGUUUCCCCUUCCCCUCCCCGGCCCUCUCGAGAGUGCCAUGUACUGCCAAAUCUACAACUACUCUUGCAUACGCGGGUGAGGAACCGACGAGAGGGGAAGGGGGGCGUGGGGUUGCGUGAGCGUAGCAUCGCUCCUUCUCUUUCCCUCACCAUGUCUUUCUCUCUCUUUCCUGCCUUCAUUUCGCACACCUCCCCGUUGUCUUCAUGUUGUAUCUCGUGCAGAACCACAUCAUGCACAUGCUCGAGUCGUCGUCUUUUGGAGAGGAGGGAGGGUGCUUCAUCGCUCCUGUCCCCCAUCUCGUGCGAGACGUGCGCCCAUCGCACCGUGUUCUCGUCGGGGAGUGGGGAGAGAGAAAGGAAAGAAGGAAAGAGGGGGGCGUGUCUCUCAGAACUCGGUCUAUGGACUCACCCCUGUCCUCCUUGUUUUGUUUUCCUUGUGUCGCACACCCCCUCCCCGACCGAUUCUUUUUGUUGUUGAAAUCGUGUUUCUUUUUUUCUUGCUUUUUGUUUCUGAAGCGCUAUCCUUCUUUUUCUCUCUUCCAUCCCACCCUCUUCCUCUGCAGCCCUGCCGGCCCUCGCCUAUCUUUUACAUGUGUUGUUGUGUUGUUGUUCCUCCGUGUUGUGUUCCCAUUUUCCUUUUCUGCUCUCUCUCUCUCUCUUGCAUGCACCGUUGCACACGCGCAUGCUCGCGCAUGUGUGUGUGCGUGCGUGCGUGAUCGCUCGCCCGCUCUGUCCCAACAGAGCUGAUGACUGAAGUUCGCUACCUCCUUUCUCAGGGUGUGAGUUCACGCAACUUUCUCGCGCACAAGCGGAGCAUACAUGCACAAGUGAAACGGACGGCUGACGCGGGAGCGUUCGAGAAACCUCAAUACCAUUUGGAGGAGGA
This 7956-nucleotide unclassified non-coding RNA is filed under the name Leishmania donovani. RNAcentral describes it as "gene:LdHU3.26.1880(CDS-product:hypothetical_prote in_conserved)". Lineage: Eukaryota; Euglenozoa; Kinetoplastea; Trypanosomatida; Trypanosomatidae. The record is from RNAcentral.